CCUAAAAGUCGUCUCAGUUCGGAUUGUUCUCUGCAACUCGAGAGCAUGCAGUUGGAAUCGCUAGUAAUCGCGGAUCAGCAUGCCGCGGUGAAUACGUUCCCGGGCCUUGUACACACCGCCCGUCACACCAUGGGAGUUGGCUUUACCCGAAGGCGCUGCGCUAACCGCAAGGAGGCAGGCGACCACCGUAGGGUCAGCGACUGGGGUGAAGUCGUAACAAGGUAUCCGUAGGGGAACCUGCGGUUGGAUCACCUCCUUUCUAAGG
This 265-nucleotide ribosomal RNA is filed under the name Caulobacter sp. 602-1. RNAcentral's name for it is "partial 16S ribosomal RNA". It matches the Rfam family "Bacterial small subunit ribosomal RNA", at positions 1275 to 1533 of the family's 1533-position model. Lineage: Bacteria; Pseudomonadati; Pseudomonadota; Alphaproteobacteria; Caulobacterales; Caulobacteraceae. The record is from RNAcentral.